This 301-nucleotide ribosomal RNA is filed under the name uncultured bacterium. Its description in RNAcentral is "partial 16S ribosomal RNA". It matches the Rfam family "Bacterial small subunit ribosomal RNA", at positions 509 to 809 of the family's 1533-position model. The record is from RNAcentral.
CAGCAGCCGCGGUAAUACGAAGGGUGCAAGCGUUAAUCGGAAUUACUGGGCGUAAAGCGUGCGUAGGCGGUUUGUUAAGUCUGUUGUGAAAUCCCCGGGCUCAACCUGGGAAUGGCAAUGGAUACUGGCAAGCUAGAGUGUGUCAGAGGAUGGUGGAAUUCCGCGUGUAGCAGUGAAAUGCGUAGAUAUGCGGAGGAACACCGAUGGCGAAGGCAGCCCCCUGGGCCAACACUGACGCUCAUGCACGAAAGCGUGGGGUGCAAACAGGAUUAGAUACCCGAGUAGUCCCUGUCUCUUAUAA